This 581-nucleotide long non-coding RNA is filed under the name Heterocephalus glaber (naked mole-rat). RNAcentral's name for it is "lncRNA (ENSHGLG00000049091.1)". The record is from RNAcentral. Lineage: Eukaryota; Metazoa; Chordata; Mammalia; Rodentia; Bathyergidae.
GGGACAGUUUCGAGGUUCCUCCCUCUUGAGACUCGGCAGUGAGUGCAGCUUUACUCUGACGGCAGGUAGAUGUACUGUGGAGAGAAAGUCAAAUGCAGAGGAGAUCUAGCUGCAUACUAGAGACCCAAAGAAUCCAGCUGAGGCCCUGGAUCCCACAGAAGUAUCCAGCACAAGUCCAGCUGAAGAUCUAGAGCACAAGGCAGCAUCCUCCAUGAGUCCAGCCAGUGGCCUGGAGCCCACGGCAGUGUCUCAUGCUUGUCCAUAUCAAGGAUCUGCACCCAGAAGGCCCAAAGGCCAAUGGUGGAAGCCAGAAAACCUGUGCCAGUGGGGUGAAGGAUUUGUGCCACCAAGCUGAGGGAUCCACAUUGGAGCCAGGAAGUGACUCUCAUGGUGAAGAUCAGAGCUCCUCUGACGAGAACAGCAGCCACUCCCAGUGACAGCAAGACUGGAGCUCCUCCUCUGGUGAGAACAGCCAAGUUCUCAUCAGGAAAACCAGCCACAGCAGGCCUCUCCUAGAAAAUCAACAGCCCAUGAUGAGCUUCCCCUCCAGGUCUCUUUUUAUGCCAUUGACAGCAAUCCUC